AACGAACGCUGGCGGCAGGCCUAACAUAUGCAAGUCGAGCGCCCUUUCGGGGGAGCGGCGGACGGGUGAGUAACGCGUGGGAAUAUGCCCUUCUCUACGGAAUAGCCUCGGGAAACUGAGAGUAAUACCGUAUACGCCCUGUGUGGGAAAGCUUUCUCGGGGAAGGAUUAGCCCGCGUUGGAUUAGGUAGUUGGUGGGGUAAUGGCCUACCAAGCCGACGAUCCAUAGCUGGUUUGAGAGGAUGAUCAGCCACACUGGGACUGAGACACGGCCCAGACUCCUACGGGAGGCAGCAGUGGGGAAUCUUAGACAAUGGGGGCAACCCUGAUCGAGCCAUGCCGGGUGAGUGAUGAAGGCCUUAGGGUUGUAAAGCUCUUUCAGCUGGGAAGAUAAUGACGGUACCAGCAGAAGAAGCCCCGGCUAACUCCGUG
This 431-nucleotide ribosomal RNA is filed under the name uncultured bacterium. RNAcentral describes it as "partial 16S ribosomal RNA". It matches the Rfam family "Bacterial small subunit ribosomal RNA", at positions 29 to 507 of the family's 1533-position model. The record is from RNAcentral.